UGGGUGACCUGCGGAAGGAUCAUUGUCGAA
This 30-nucleotide ribosomal RNA is filed under the name Tecomella undulata. RNAcentral describes it as "partial 18S ribosomal RNA". Lineage: Eukaryota; Viridiplantae; Streptophyta; Magnoliopsida; Lamiales; Bignoniaceae. The record is from RNAcentral.